GAUGAACGCUGGCGGCGUGCUUAACACAUGCAAGUCGAACGGUGAAGGCGGAGCUUGCUCUGCUGGAUCAGUGGCGAACGGGUGAGUAACACGUGAGCAAUCUGCCCCUGACUCUGGGAUAAGCGCUGGAAACGGCGUCUAAUACUGGAUACGAGCUGCGACGGCAUCUUCAGCAGCUGGAAAGAACUUCGGUCAGGGAUGAGCUCGCGGCCUAUCAGCUUGUUGGUGAGGUAACGGCUCACCAAGGCGUCGACGGGUAGCCGGCCUGAGAGGGUGACCGGCCACACUGGGACUGAGACACGGCCCAGACUCCUACGGGAGGCAGCAGUGGGGAAUAUUGCACAAUGGGCGAAAGCCUGAUGCAGCAACGCCGCGUGAGGGACGACGGCCUUCGGGUUGUAAACCUCUUUUAGCAGGGAAGAAGCGAAAGUGACGGUACCUGCAGAAAAAGCGGCGGCUAACUACGUG
This 468-nucleotide ribosomal RNA is filed under the name uncultured bacterium. RNAcentral describes it as "partial 16S ribosomal RNA". It matches the Rfam family "Bacterial small subunit ribosomal RNA", at positions 28 to 507 of the family's 1533-position model. The record is from RNAcentral.